AUUGAACGCUGGCGGCAGGCCUAACACAUGCAAGUCGAACGAGUGGCGGACGGGUGAGUAAUGUCUGGGAAACCGCCCGAUGGAGGGGGAUAACUACUGGAAACGGUCGAUAAUACCGCAUACCAUCGGAUGUGCCCAGGUGGGAUUAGCUAGUAGGUGGGGUAACGGCUCACCUAGGCGACGAUCCCUAGCUGGUCUGAGGGGAGGACCAGCAACACUGGAACUGGGACACGGUCCAGACUCCUACGGGAGGCAGCAGGGGGGAAUAUUGGACAAGGGGCGGAAGCCUGAUGCAGCCAUGCCGGGUGUAUGAAGAAGGCCUUCGGGUUGUAAAGGACUUUCAGCGGGGAGGCGGUACUCGCAGAAGAAGCACCGGCUAACUCCGUGCCAGCAGCCGCGGUAAUAC
Molecule: ribosomal RNA, 406 nt
Filed under: uncultured bacterium
Lineage: Bacteria
Description: partial 16S ribosomal RNA
Rfam family: Bacterial small subunit ribosomal RNA
Source: RNAcentral